GAUCCUGGCUCAGGAUGAACGCUAGCGGCAGGCUUAACACAUGCAAGUCGAGGGGCAGCAUAAUGGAUAGCAAUAUCUAUGGUGGCGACCGGCGCACGGGUGCGUAACGCGUAUGCAACCUACCUUUUAACAGGGGGGAUAACACUGAGAAAUUGGUACUAAUACCCCAUAACAUCAUGAAAGGCAUCUUUUAUGGUUGAAAAUUCCGAUGGUUAGAGAUGGGCAUGCGUUGUAUUAG
RNAcentral lists this ribosomal RNA (238 nucleotides) under uncultured bacterium. Its description in RNAcentral is "partial 16S ribosomal RNA". It matches the Rfam family "Bacterial small subunit ribosomal RNA", at positions 15 to 244 of the family's 1533-position model. The record is from RNAcentral.